This 468-nucleotide ribosomal RNA is filed under the name uncultured bacterium. Its description in RNAcentral is "partial 16S ribosomal RNA". It matches the Rfam family "Bacterial small subunit ribosomal RNA", at positions 28 to 507 of the family's 1533-position model. The record is from RNAcentral.
GACGAACGCUGGCGGCGUGCUUAACACAUGCAAGUCGAACGGAAAGGCCCUGCUUUUGUGGGGUGCUCGAGUGGCGAACGGGUGAGUAACACGUGAGUAACCUGCCCUUGACUUUGGGAUAACUUCAGGAAACUGGUGCUAAUACCGGAUAGGAGCUCCUGCUGCAUGGUGGGGGUUGGAAAGUUUCGGCGGUUGGGGAUGGAAUCGCGGAUUAUCAGCUUGUUGGUGGGGUAGUGGCUUACCAAGGCUUUGACGGGUAGCCGGCCUGAGAGGGUGACCGGCCACAUUGGGACUGAGAUACGGCCCAGACUCCUACGGGCGGCAGCAGUGGGGAAUAGUGCACAAUGGGCGGAAGCCUGAUGCAGCAACGCCGCGUGCGGGAUGACGGCCUUCGGGUUGUAAACCGCUUUCGCCUGUGACGAAGCGUGAGUGACGGUAAUGGGUAAAGAAGCACCGGCUAACUACGUG